GUCUUCGGACCUCGUGCUAUUAGAUGAGUCUGCGUCGGAUUAGCUUGUUGGUGAGGUAAUGGCUCACCAAGGCGACGAUCCGUAGCUGGUCUGAGAGGAUGACCAGCCACACUGGAACUGAGACACGGUCCAGACUCCUACGGGAGGCAGCAGUGGGGAAUAUUGCACAAUGGGCGCAAGCCUGAUGCAGCCAUGCCGCGUGUGUGAAGAAGGCCUUAGGGUUGUAAAGCACUUUCAGCAGUGAGGAAAGGGGUGUCGUUAAUAGCGCCAUCCUGUGACGUUAACUGCAGAAGAAGGACCGGCUAACUCCGUG
This 313-nucleotide ribosomal RNA is filed under the name uncultured bacterium. RNAcentral describes it as "bacterial SSU rRNA". It matches the Rfam family "Bacterial small subunit ribosomal RNA", at positions 202 to 507 of the family's 1533-position model. The record is from RNAcentral.